RNAcentral lists this ribosomal RNA (610 nucleotides) under uncultured bacterium. RNAcentral's name for it is "bacterial SSU rRNA". It matches the Rfam family "Bacterial small subunit ribosomal RNA", at positions 338 to 950 of the family's 1533-position model. The record is from RNAcentral.
CCUACGGGAGGCAGCAGUAAGGAAUAUUGGUCAAUGGGCGCAAGCCUGAACCAGCCAUGCCGCGUGCAGGAAGACGGCCCUAUGGGUUGUAAACUGCUUUUGAACAAGAGAAAACCUCGGUACGUGUACCGAGCUGAUAGUAUUGUUAGAAUAAGCAUCGGCUAACUUCGUGCCAGCAGCCGCGGUAAGACGAAGGAUGCAAGCGUUAUCCGGAUUCAUUGGGUUUAAAGGGUGCGUAGGCGGCCUGAUAAGUCAGUGGUGAAAUCUCUCAGCUUAACUGAGAAACUGCCAUUGAUACUGUCGGGCUUGAGUACAGAUGAUGUGGGCGGAAUAUGACAUGUAGUGGUGAAAUACUUAGAUAUGUCAUAGAACACCGAUUGCGAAGGCAGCUCACAAAACUGUAACUGACGCUGAGGCACGAAAGUGCGGGGAUCAAACAGGAUUAGAUACCCUGGUAGUCCGCACCGUAAACGAUGAUUACUCGUUGUUGGCAAUAUGACCGUCAGCGACCAAGCGAAAGCGAUAAGAAUCCACCUGGGGAGUACGCCGGCAACGGUGAAACUCAAAUGAAUUGACGGCNGAGAGNGCGACGACGACGACGAGGGAGAGG